CGCCCUUGAGUUUGAUCAUGGCUCAGGACGAACGCUGGCGGCGUGCCUAACACACGCAAGUCGAGCGAUGAAGCCCUUCGGGGCUGAUUAGCGGCGGACGGGUGAGUAACACGUGGGUAACCUGCCUCAUAGAGGGGGAUAGCCUCCCGAAAGGGAGAUUAAUACCGCAUAACAUAUUUUGGUCGCAUGAUCGAAAUAUCAAAGGAGUAAUCCGCUAUGAGAUGGACCCGCGGCGCAUUAGCUAGUUGGUGAGGUAACGGCUCACCAAGGCGACGAUGCGUAGCCGACCUGAGAGGGUGAUCGGCCACAUUGGAACUGAUACACGGUCCAGACUCCUACGGGAGGCAGCAGUGGGGAAUAUUGCGCAAUGGGGGAAACCCUGACGCAGCAACGUUUUUUUUUUGAUGAAGGCCUUAGGGUUGUAAAGUUCUGUCUUCUGGGACGAUAAUGACGGUACCAGAGGAGGAAGCCACGGCUAACUACGUGCCAGCAGCCGCGGUAC
This 502-nucleotide ribosomal RNA is filed under the name uncultured Clostridium sp. RNAcentral's name for it is "bacterial SSU rRNA". It matches the Rfam family "Bacterial small subunit ribosomal RNA", at positions 1 to 523 of the family's 1533-position model. Lineage: Bacteria; Bacillati; Bacillota; Clostridia; Eubacteriales; Clostridiaceae. The record is from RNAcentral.